Molecule: ribosomal RNA, 707 nt
Filed under: Phytopythium helicoides
Lineage: Eukaryota; Oomycota; Peronosporomycetes; Pythiales; Pythiaceae
Description: eukaryotic LSU rRNA
Rfam family: Eukaryotic large subunit ribosomal RNA
Source: RNAcentral
UAGUAACGGCGAGUGAAGCGGGAAGAGCUCAAGCUUAAAAUCUCCGGUCAGGUUCUGGUCGGCGAAUUGUAGUCUAUAGACGCGUUAUCAGUGUGGCCGGUCGGGGUAAGUUCCUUGGAAGAGGACAGCAAUGAGGGUGAUACUCCCGUUUGUACCUGAUUGUGUUGCGCGUACGAUGCGUGUUCUUUGAGUCGCGUUGUUUGGGAAUGCAGCGCAAAGUAGGUGGUAAAUUCCAUCUAAAGCUAAAUAUUGGUGCGAGACCGAUAGCGAACAAGUACCGUGAGGGAAAGAUGAAAAGAACUUUGAAAAGAGAGUUAAAGAGUACCUGAAACUGCUGAAAGGGAACCGGGUCGUUGCCAGUGUCUAUAAUCCUUGGCAUAUUUCAUUGCCGUGUCUGUUUGUUCCGCGUGUUUGUAGCAGUUUGUUCUGUGCAUUGCGUGGUUGUGAGCGGUCGUGGCGGUGCCCUGUGCUUUGGUGGGACGUCAGAGUCAGUUCGUAUGCUGCGGGAAAUGGUCGUGCAGGAGGUAGGUCGGGGGCUUGCUCUCGGCUGUUAUAUCUGUGCGUGCCAGUAGUCGUGGUUGGGACUGAGGUGCCUACAACGUGCUUUUGAGUCUUUGGGUCGCUCUGUGCGCGCGUGUGCGGGAUAGCUUGCUAUGCCGUGUGCGUUUGUGUGUGGAUGGCGUGCUCUCUGUAACUUGUUGCCGUUC